ACACGAUUAACACACACAGCACAUUCAACAGACAAAAUCUCUGCAGAUCUCUCAACUCAAAUGAGCUUUUAUCCUUAAGAGUAGGAGUAAUUUAGAUAUCUCAAGUUUUUAGCGGCAGGGUGAUCCCCUCAACGAUUCAAGUUCACAAAUCUCUGGCGGAAGGAUUACAUCCUCAACGACACGAUCACGACUCCAUCGGCUUGUUGACAGAAGGUCUAAUUCUCAUCCCACAGCCAUUCGAGAGCGUCUCAACGUGGUUGCAAUCCUUCUACUUCGUCUGCGGGCAACCUCAUACCUGAAUUCAAAGCCUAAACUACAUGUAUCGAUGGAAAGCAAACGCGGACACUCAAUGCGAUGAUAAGAAGAAGAAGAAGAAGAAGAAGAAGAAGAAGAAGAAGAAGAAGAAGAAGAAGAAGAAGAAGAAGAAGAAGAGGCUCUCCUCACUGUAUAAUUUCACACCGGCCUGAUCUUCCAGCCCAAGUUGCCUUCUUAUCUUACCCAUCUGAAUGACAUGUACAUAUCAAAUACCAUAUACAUAAACACCACCGUUGCUUCAUGUAGUUAAUAGUUGUUUUAUCGUCAUUUAUCUUAUAGUGCAGCAAAUUGGAAUAUGACAAUUUCUCGU
Punica granatum (pomegranate) is the source of this 625-nucleotide non-coding RNA. NCBI's taxonomy places the organism in Eukaryota, Viridiplantae, Streptophyta, Magnoliopsida, Myrtales, Lythraceae. The record is from RefSeq and is a predicted model, not a curated record.